CGCUGAACUUAAGCAUAUCAAUAAGCGGAGGAAAAGAAACUAACAAGGAUUCCCCUAGUAACGGCGAGUGAAGCGGGAAGAGCUCAAGCUUAAAAUCUCCGUGCAAGUUUUGCGCGGCGAAUUGUAGUCUAUAGAGGCGUGGUCAGCGUGGGCGCUUGGGGCAAGUUCCUUGGAAGAGGACAGCAUGGAGGGUGAUACUCCCGUUCAUCCCUGAGUGGCUCGUGCGUACGACCCGUGUUCUUUGAGUCGCGUUGUUUGGGAAUGCAGCGCAAAGUAGGUGGUAAAUUCCAUCUAAAGCUAAAUAUUGGUGCGAGACCGAUAGCGAACAAGUACCGUGAGGGAAAGAUGAAAAGAACUUUGAAAAGAGAGUUAAAGAGUACCUGAAACUGCUGAAAGGGAACCGAAUCGUUUCCAGUGUCUAUAAUCCGUGGCAUAUUUCAUUGGCGAGUGUGUGCGUGCGUGUGCUGUGGCAGUGGCUUUUUUGGCUGCGCUCGGUGUGUGUGCUGUGUGUGCUUGCUGGUGCCCUGUGCUGCGGUGGGACGUCAAGGUCAGUUCGUAUGCUGCGGGAAAUGGCUGCCGAGGAGGUAGGGCUUACGCUCCGCGUUUGUCUGUUAUAUCUUGGUGGACGAGUCGUCGCGGUUGGGACUGAGGUGCCUACAACGUGCUUUUGAGUGGGUUUGUGUCUCCGUGUGCGCCGUGUGCGGAUAGCUUGCUAUGCGUGUGUGGUUGUGUGUGGAUUGAUGCGGGCUUUAACUUGUCGCCGUUCGGGACGUUGACGAAAUGGAGCGAUCCGACCCGUCUUGAAACACGGACCAAGGAGUCUAACAUGUGUGCAAGUGUUAGGGUGUGGAAACCCCAGCGCGAAAUGAAAGUGAAGGGCAGCGCAAGUUGUCUGAGGUAGGAAACGUUGCGGGCUUCGGUCUGCGGCGUGGCACUAUCGACCGAUCAUGAACCUUCGUGGUGAAAGAUUUGAGUUUGAGCACAUAUGUUGGUACCCGAAAGAUGGUGAACUAUGCCUGAGUAGGGUGAAGCCAGGGGAAACUCUGGUGGAAGCUCGUAGCGAUUCUGACGUGCAAAUCGAUCGUCAAACUUGGGUAUAGGGGCGAAAGACUAAUCGAACCAUCUAGUAGCUGGUUCCCUCCGAAAUUUCCCUCAGGAUAGCAGCAACUUAUUUACGAUAGUUUUAUGAGGUAAAGCGAAUGAUUAGAGGAUUCGGGGAAGAAACUUCCUCGACCUAUUCUCAAACUUUAAAUCUGUAAGACCUGCAGGUUUCUUAAUUGAACUUGUGGAUGUGAAUAUCAAGUUGCUAGUGGGCCAUACGGGGUAAGCUCGUCUGGCG
This 1339-nucleotide ribosomal RNA is filed under the name Phytophthora melonis. RNAcentral's name for it is "eukaryotic LSU rRNA". It matches the Rfam family "Eukaryotic large subunit ribosomal RNA", at positions 26 to 1155 of the family's 3401-position model. RNAcentral also lists the same sequence under 1 other name. The record is from RNAcentral. Lineage: Eukaryota; Oomycota; Peronosporomycetes; Peronosporales; Peronosporaceae.